This 398-nucleotide unclassified non-coding RNA is filed under the name soil metagenome. RNAcentral describes it as "partial contains 5.8S ribosomal RNA, internal transcribed spacer 2, and large subunit ribosomal RNA". The stretch from base 1 to 120 matches the Rfam family "5.8S ribosomal RNA", at positions 35 to 154 of the family's 154-position model. The record is from RNAcentral.
GAUGAAGAACGCAGCGAAAUGCGAUAAGUAAUGUGAAUUGCAGAGUUUAGUGAAUCAUCGAAUCUUUGAACGCACAUUGCGCCCCUCGGUAUUCCGACGGGCAUGCCUGUUCGAGCGUCGUUCGCACACCCUCAAGCAGAAUUCAUGUCGGCUUGGUCUUGGGCCUCCGUCCCCCACCGCCGCCAGCGAGGGCGGGGAGGGACGGGCCCCGAAGCGAGCGGCGGCCUCGGAUGCACCGCCGGAGCGUCCUCGUGAUAACUCGCUCCGGCGCCGUGCGUUCGCGGCCCGCCUGGACGACGAAACCCCCCCGCCCGCAAACGGCGGGAACACCAACAAAGUUCCGACCUCGGAUCAGGCAGGGAUACCCGCUGAACUUAAGCAUAUCAAUAAGCGGAGGA